CAGCAGUCGCCGCGGUAAAACGGAGGGUGCAAGCGUUAUCCGGAUUUAUUGUGUUUAAAGGGUCCGUAGGCUGAUCUGUAAGUCAGUGGUGAAAUCUCACAGCUUAACUGUGAAACUGCCAUUGAUACUGCAGGUCUUGAGUAAAUUUGAAGUGGCUGGAAUAAGUAGUGUAGCGGUGAAAUGCAUAGAUAUUACUUAGAACACCAAUUGCGAAGGCAGGUCACUAAGAUUUAACUGACGCUGAUGGACGAAAGCGUGGGGAGCGAACAGGAUUAGAUACCCGUGUAGUCCCUGUCUCUUAUAC
RNAcentral lists this ribosomal RNA (304 nucleotides) under uncultured bacterium. RNAcentral describes it as "partial 16S ribosomal RNA". It matches the Rfam family "Bacterial small subunit ribosomal RNA", at positions 509 to 807 of the family's 1533-position model. The record is from RNAcentral.